Molecule: ribosomal RNA, 1708 nt
Filed under: Ramaria sp. TH9040
Lineage: Eukaryota; Fungi; Basidiomycota; Agaricomycetes; Gomphales; Gomphaceae
Description: eukaryotic LSU rRNA
Rfam family: Eukaryotic large subunit ribosomal RNA (bases 564-1708)
Source: RNAcentral
AUUACAGAGUUUGUUGGCCGCCGACUGUCGCCGGCACUGCUGCCGUGCACGUCGUGUCUGGCCUUCUCUCUAAUCUCACAUCACACUUGUGCACACGGAUUGAGGUGGGGGGGGUUCUUCCUUCCCAUUCUUCUCUCAUAUUAGCCGUUAAAUGCAUGUUUGUAAUUUGUAUCUAAUAUAACUUUCAACAACGGAUCUCUUGGCUUUCGCAUCGAUGAAGGACGCCGCGAACGAGCGAAACGUAAUGUGAAUUGCAGAAUUCAGUGAAUCAUCGAAUCUUUGAACGCAUCUUGCGCUCCUCGGAAUUCCGAGGAGCAUGCCUGUUUGAGUGUCAUUAAUAUUCUCGACUGCCUUGUGUUAGGUUAGGUCGGAUUUUGGAUGUUGCUGGCUUGAAUGAGUCGGCUCGUCUUGAAAUGCAUAUAGCUUGGUUCCGUAAUGUUAUUGUGGAAGGCCGGUGGCUCGUGAUAAGUGAAGGUGUCAUGUGAUACCUUUUUUGUUCGGGUGCUUGUCCUUUCAUGAUGAUAUAUGCGGGCUGCUUCUUAGAUUUCAUUUAUUGCGAUAUUUGACCUCAAAUCAGGUAGGAUUACCCGCUGAACUUAAGCAUAUCAAUAAGCGGAGGAAAAGAAACUAACAAGGAUUCCCCUAGUAACUGCGAGUGAAGCGGGAAGAGCUCAAAUUUGUAAUCUGGCGGUCUCAGGCCGUCCGAGUUGUAGUCUGGAGAAGCGUCUUCCGUGCCGGACCGUGUACAAGUCCCUUGGAACAGGGCGUCAUAGAGGGUGAGAAUCCCGUCUCUGACACGGACUGCCGGUGCUAUGUGAUGCGCUCUCGAAGAGUCGAGUUGUUUGGGAAUGCAGCUCAAAAUGGGUGGUAAAUUCCAUCUAAAGCUAAAUACAGGCGAAAGACCGAUAGCGAACAAGUACCGUGAGGGAAAGAUGAAAAGCACUUUGGAAAGAGAGUUAAACAGUACGUGAAAUUGUUGAAAGGGAAACGCUUGAAGUCAGUCGCGUCUCGCGGGAUUCAGCCUUUGCGUCUGCUAGGUGCAUUUCCCGGUGUAGAUGGGCCAGCAUCAAUUCGGAUCGUCAGAGAAGGGUCGAGGGAACGUGGCACCCCUGUGGUGUGUUAUAGCCCCCGGUCAUAUGUGACGGUCAGGAUUGAGGAUUGCAGCACGCCUUCAAUGGCCGGGGUUCGCCCACGUAACGUGCUUAGGAUGCUGGCGUAAUGGCUUCAAACGACCCGUCUUGAAACACGGACCAAGGAGUCCAACAUGCCUGCGAGUGUUUGGGUGGUUAAACCCCGGACGCGUAAUGAAAGUGAGAUGUCAGGACCUCUGUCGUGGAGGGCACUGACGCCCGGACCAGACCUUUCUAAGUGACGGUUCCGAGGUAGAGCAUGUAUGCUGGGACCCGAAAGAUGGUGAACUAUGCUUGAGUAGGGCGAAGCCAGAGGAAACUCUGGUGGAGGCUCGUAGCGGUUCUGACGUGCAAAUCGAUCGUCGAACUUGGGCAUAGGGGCGAAAGACUAAUCGAACCAUCUAGUAGCUGGUUCCUGCCGAAGUUUCCCUCAGGAUAGCAGAGACUCUUAUCAGAUUUAUGUGGUAAAGCGAAUGAUUAGCGACCUUGGGGUCGAAACGACCUUAAUCGAUUCUCAAACUUUGAAUAUGUAAGAUCGGGUCGUCACUUGAUUGGACCGCCCGGCGAUUGAGAGUCUC